GUGCUUGCUUCAGCAGCACAAAUACUAAGAUUGAACUGAUACAGAGAAGAUUAGCAUGGCCCUUGCGCAAAGACAUGCAAAUUUUUGAAAGAUAAAAAUAUAUAUUU
Small nuclear RNA from Sarcophilus harrisii (Tasmanian devil), 107 nucleotides. NCBI's taxonomy places the organism in Eukaryota, Metazoa, Chordata, Mammalia, Dasyuromorphia, Dasyuridae. The record is from Ensembl.